UGUCCGGGCCGAAUGGGGCCUGGGUGGCAAAGCGAAAGCGUUAAGCAUCCCACCUGGGGAGUACGCCGGCAACGGUGAAACUCAAAGGAAUUGACGGGGGCCCGCACAAGCGGAGGAACAUGUGGUUUAAUUCGAUGAUACGCGAGGAACCUUACCCGGGCUCAAACGCGUCAGGGAUCCCCUCUGAAAGGAGGGGAGUCAGCAAUGACCUGGCGCGAGGUGCUGCAUGGUUGUCGUCAGCUCGUGCCGUGAGGUGUCGGCUUAAGUGCCAUAACGAGCGCAACCCCUACCGACAGUUGCUAACUGGUGAAGCAGAGGACUCUGUCGGGACUGCCGGCGCAAGCUGCGAGGAAGGCGGGGAUGACGUCAAAUCAGCACGGCCCUUACGUCCGGGGCGACACACGUGUUACAAUGGCAGGUACAGCGGGAAGCCACCGGGCGACCGGGCGCGGAACCCGAAAACCUGUCUCAGUUCGGAUCGGAGUCUGCAACCCGACUCCGUGAAGCUGGAUUCGCUAGUAAUCGCGCAUCAGCCACGGCGCGGUGAAUACGUUCCCGGGCCUUGUACACACCGCCCGUCAAGCCAUGGGAGCCGGGGGUGCCUGAAGUCCGUGACCGCAAGGGGCGGCCUAGGGUAAAACCGGUGACUGGGGCUAAGUCGUAACAAGGUAGCCGUACCGGAAGGUGCGGCUGGAACACCUCCUUU
This 706-nucleotide ribosomal RNA is filed under the name Muribaculaceae bacterium. Its description in RNAcentral is "bacterial SSU rRNA". It matches the Rfam family "Bacterial small subunit ribosomal RNA", at positions 821 to 1533 of the family's 1533-position model. The record is from RNAcentral. Lineage: Bacteria; Pseudomonadati; Bacteroidota; Bacteroidia; Bacteroidales; Muribaculaceae.